This 63-nucleotide transfer RNA is filed under the name pig gut metagenome. It matches the Rfam family "tRNA", at positions 5 to 66 of the family's 71-position model. Rfam says of the family: Transfer RNA (tRNA) molecules are approximately 80 nucleotides in length. Their secondary structure includes four short double-helical elements and three loops (D, anti-codon, and T loops). Further hydrogen bonds mediate the characteristic L-shaped molecular structure. tRNAs have two regions of fundamental functional importance: the anti-codon, which is responsible for specific mRNA codon recognition, and the 3' end, to which the tRNAs corresponding amino acid is attached (by aminoacyl-tRNA synthetases). tRNAs cope with the degeneracy of the genetic code in two manners: having more than one tRNA (with a specific anti-codon) for a particular amino acid; and 'wobble' base-pairing, i.e. permitting non-standard base-pairing at the 3rd anti-codon position. The record is from RNAcentral.
CAGUAGCUCAAUGGUAGAGCAGCUGACUCUUAAUCAGCGGGUUGGGGGUUCGAGUCCCUCCUG